This 484-nucleotide ribosomal RNA is filed under the name uncultured bacterium. RNAcentral's name for it is "partial 16S ribosomal RNA". It matches the Rfam family "Bacterial small subunit ribosomal RNA", at positions 30 to 507 of the family's 1533-position model. The record is from RNAcentral.
AUUGAACGCUGGCGGCAGGCCUAACACAUGCAAGUCGAGCGGAUGAAGGGAGCUUGCUCCUGGAUUCAGCGGCGGACGGGUGCGUAAUGCCUAGGAAUCUGCCUUGUAGUGGGGGAUAACGUCCGGAAACGGGCGCUAAUACCGCAUACGACCUGAGGGAGAAAGUGGGGGAUCUUCGGACUUCACGCUAUCAGAUGAUCCUAGGUCGGAUUAGAUAGUUGGUGGGGUAAAGGCCUACCAAGGCGACGAUCCGUAACUGGUCUGAGAGGAUGAUCAGUCACACUGGAACUGAGCCACGGUACAGACUCCUACGGGAGGCAGCAGUGGGGAAUAUUGGACAAUGGGCGAAAGCCUGAUCCAGCCAUGCCGCGUGUGUGAAGAAGGUCUUCGGAUUGUAAAGCACUUUAAGUUGGGAGGAAGGGCAGUAAGUUAAUACCUUGCUGUUUUGACGUUACCAACAGAAUAAGCACCGGCUAACUUCGUG